UACCACAAGGCUAGGUAUGGCGCGCUUUAUCUGUGUUGUUGGUCCAGACAUAAUUUCUCAUCUAUCCACAGGACACACCCAUCAUGAGCCAAAGAGAAGGAAAUAUAUUUAGUUCUUUCAAUGCAGUGAAAGAAUUUCACCAAGAUGCUACCAGAGGUUAAAAAUAAAUGAAAAUGGAUUGUUAUUUCUCAAAGCAUGCAACAAAGAUGGUUUAAAACAUCACAAGGUACAAGUGGAUAUAUUUCAACUGAAACAUGUUCUGUUCUGAGAGUUCUGACAGCACAAAUCAGUUUGCACUGGUUUAUUUCCUGAGGAGAUGUUCCUGCCACUCAGUGACUGUCCAGGAGAAGCAAAAUACACUGAAGUGGAAACACUCUGGAAAUGAAGCAGAGUGACAGGGAAAUAGAGAACUGCAGGUAAGGCAAGUAAUUUUCUAUGUAGUUUUCCACCAAGCCCAUUCAUUAAGAUAAAUUCUAGAGGUGGUUAUGACAUGCUAUAAUAUCU
RNAcentral lists this long non-coding RNA (504 nucleotides) under Coturnix japonica (Japanese quail). Its description in RNAcentral is "lncRNA (ENSCJPG00005000225.1)". Lineage: Eukaryota; Metazoa; Chordata; Aves; Galliformes; Phasianidae. The record is from RNAcentral.